This 249-nucleotide ribosomal RNA is filed under the name uncultured bacterium. RNAcentral describes it as "partial 16S ribosomal RNA". It matches the Rfam family "Bacterial small subunit ribosomal RNA", at positions 107 to 354 of the family's 1533-position model. The record is from RNAcentral.
UGAGUAACGCGUAUCCAACCUGCCCUUUACUAUGGGACAGCCCGUCGAAAGGCGGAUUAAUACCGUAUGUUGUCAUGUUGAUGCAUAUUUUCAUGACCAAAGGCUUCGGCCGGUAAAGGAUGGGGAUGCGUCUGAUUAGCCAGUUGGCAGGGUAACGGCCUACCAAAGCGACGAUCAGUAGCCGGCCUGAGAGGGCGGACGGCCACACUGGGACUGAGACACGGCCCAGACUCCUACGGAAGGCAGCAG